CGUGACGUGUAGCUACGAAGCAGCAGCUGUGGUUCGGUAAUUUGCGGAAAGCGCUGCAACAAGCGUUAGUGGCUGAGAUAAAGCCAUCGUGUACUUACCGACCACUUUGCAAUUUUAUGCGACAUCUUUAGUGCAUUCAAAGGUUCUCAUGCUCACACAGAAUAUGAAAACCAACAAAUGGCGCAGUCGAACUAUUACGAAAAGCCAGCAAAGCGGUGUCUUUUCUCAGCUUGCAUGACCGACUCUUUUCUCACAGGUGGCAAUGGCGUCUGCCGCUUUGCGUAAAAUAUGCAAAAUUUGGUAUCAUUUGCAGCCAGCAGGCUAUGCUGUUGUCGAGGUUUUCUUGACUCUAUAGCAGCUCCACUUUUCAAUUUGUCUUACACUUAGGUUACUGCUAGACCCGCUUUCCAUCCAGCAGAUGUGUACUGUAGUUUUCAUCAUGAUUCUCACAGGUAA
This is a long non-coding RNA of Corticium candelabrum, 456 nucleotides long. RefSeq lists it as uncharacterized. Lineage: Eukaryota; Metazoa; Porifera; Homoscleromorpha; Homosclerophorida; Plakinidae. The transcript is spliced from 3 exons. The record is from RefSeq and is a predicted model, not a curated record.